GGGGGGGGGGGGGGGGGGGGGGGGGGCGUGCGGGUCGGGGGAGGCCUGCGGGGGUAGUGGCGCGCGGGUGCGUAACGCGUGGGAGCCUGCCAUGCGGGUGGGCCUGACUCCCCGACCUAGUUUCUACUACCGUAUACUGUCUUCGGACCAAAGAUUUAUCGCCUUUGGAGGGGCCCGCGUUGGAUUAGCUAGUUGGUAGGGUAAAAGCCUACCAAGGCGACGAUCCAUAGCUGGUCUGAGAGGAUGAUCAGCCACACUGGGACUGAGACACGGCCCAGACUCCUACGGGAGGCAGCAGUGGGGAAUAUUGGACAAUGGGCGAAAGCCUGAUCCAGCAAUGCCGCGUGAGUGAUGAAGGCCUUAGGGUUGUAAAGCUCUUUUACCCGGGAUGAUAAUGACAGUACCGGGAGAAUAAGCUCCGGCUAACUCCGUG
RNAcentral lists this ribosomal RNA (433 nucleotides) under uncultured bacterium. RNAcentral's name for it is "partial 16S ribosomal RNA". It matches the Rfam family "Bacterial small subunit ribosomal RNA", at positions 38 to 507 of the family's 1533-position model. The record is from RNAcentral.